UAGUCCACGCCGUAAACGAUGUCUACUAGCCGUUGGGGAACUUGAUUCUUUAGUGGCGCAGCUAACGCACUAAGUAGACCGCCUGGGGAGUACGGCCGCAAGGUUAAAACUCAAAUGAAUUGACGGGGGCCCGCACAAGCGGUGGAGCAUGUGGUUUAAUUCGAUGAUACGCGAGGAACCUUACCAGGGCUUAAAUGUAAGUUGCAUGAUUUAGAGAUAGAUCUUUCUUCGGACUACUUACAAGGUGCUGCAUGGUUGUCGUCAGCUCGUGCCGUGAGGUGUCAGGUUAAGUCCUAUAACGAGCGCAACCCCUGUUGUUAGUUGCCAGCAUGUAAAGAUGGGAACUCUAACAAGACUGCCAGUGCAAACUGUGAGGAAGGUGGGGAUGACGUCAAAUCAUCACGGGCCCUUACGUCCUGGGGCUACACACGUGCUACAAUGGCCGGUACAGAGAGCAGCCACACCGCGAGGGUGGGAGCGGAAUCUAUAAAACCGGGU
This 498-nucleotide ribosomal RNA is filed under the name uncultured bacterium. Its description in RNAcentral is "bacterial SSU rRNA". It matches the Rfam family "Bacterial small subunit ribosomal RNA", at positions 791 to 1287 of the family's 1533-position model. The record is from RNAcentral.